UUAUUAUUAUCUUUCUCUUCUGAAAUGUUUUAGACAAUAGCUCAGAAACUGGUCUGGUGUUAUUAUUAUUAUUAUUUUGUGUGGAGGGAAGGAAGACCAGAAGCAAAAAAAAAAAAAAUAGCCAAAACUUUACAGCAGGUGCAUCACACUGGUCUUGGUGUGUGAGUUUCUGUCUGUAAAGUACUGUUCCAUGACACUUAAAAUGAAGAGAAUGGUAAAGCAAAGUCCUGACUCAAAGGCUGUACCAAAAGGUUUUGUCUACUUUUAACUCAUUGUGAACAGGUUUGUCCCCAACUUCGGAUCUUUUCCACGACAUCAUGUACCAGGAAACCACGGCCAUCUCUACCCUCUCCGAUCUCUUCCUUCACCAGAUCUCUUGGCUUUGGUGCAAUAGUUUCUUAUGUUCAAGUCCAGCCUCAACCACAAUGGAGUACAUUUAGGAACUGUGAUUCUUUCUCUCUUUCUGAAAAUGCCAGUCCAAGUGAAGAAGUCCCAAUUUUUUAAAAUAUUAAAUUAUUAAAUCAAAUUAUUAAAAGAUAAAUAUUCAUGCUUAAAAAUGGGUUUGCUUAAAAGUAUAUAAGUAAGAUGAACAUGUGAAAGGGAAUUAUUUUUACCCCUGGCCGAGGUAUUGGCUUUUGAGGUUUCUU
Erinaceus europaeus (western European hedgehog) is the source of this 647-nucleotide long non-coding RNA. RefSeq lists it as uncharacterized. The transcript has 3 exons. NCBI's taxonomy places the organism in Eukaryota, Metazoa, Chordata, Mammalia, Eulipotyphla, Erinaceidae. The record is from RefSeq and is a predicted model, not a curated record.